Homo sapiens (human) is the source of this 475-nucleotide long non-coding RNA. Lineage: Eukaryota; Metazoa; Chordata; Mammalia; Primates; Hominidae. The record is from Ensembl.
GUACUUCAUCGUUAUCUACUGAAAAAAAAAAAGUACUGAUGUCUUUAUCCUUGGAGAGGAGAGGUGUAAUCGAGAUGGAGAAGAUGAGACAAAUGGAGCACAUAGAAGCCACACAACCUUCCUAAAGUCACGCAGCUGGAGGCCGCACAGCCAGAUGGCUCCAGAGGACAUGUCCUUAAUCAUGAUGUUGCUAUUUAGCAGAAACAUCGCUGCAGAAAGUCAGACCACAGAUGGGGACUGGUGGAAACCAAACAUAUGACUACAUCAGUCUACAAAAGCAUCAUGGUAUUCCCACAUAAUUCAGAAGCAUGCCAGGCCAUUCAGAAUCUACAGACCAGAGCAAUCAUGCAAGAUAAUGGAAGAUAAUGACAAAACAAUAUAAUGACAAGAUAAUGGAAGAUAGUGACAAAAAUAUUCUGAGCAUCAUUGAUUUAGUCACCCUUUAUUUCAUAAACAUCUUAGAAUUUUCUUCCCA